GUACUCGCUUCAGCAGCACGUAUACUAAAAUUGGAAUGAUACAGAGAAGAUUAGCAUAGCCCUUGCACAAGGAUGACACGCAAAUUCGUGAAGCAGUCCAUAUUUUU
This 107-nucleotide small nuclear RNA is filed under the name Physeter macrocephalus (sperm whale). The record is from RNAcentral. Lineage: Eukaryota; Metazoa; Chordata; Mammalia; Artiodactyla; Physeteridae.